RNAcentral lists this transfer RNA (71 nucleotides) under Clostridium sp. CAG:1013. It matches the Rfam family "tRNA". Rfam says of the family: Transfer RNA (tRNA) molecules are approximately 80 nucleotides in length. Their secondary structure includes four short double-helical elements and three loops (D, anti-codon, and T loops). Lineage: Bacteria; Bacillati; Bacillota; Clostridia; Eubacteriales; Clostridiaceae. RNAcentral also lists the same sequence under 1 other name. The record is from Rfam by way of RNAcentral.
GCGGGCGUAGUUCAGUGGUAGAACAUCAGCUUCCCAAGCUGAAUAUGAGGGUUCGAUUCCCUUCGCCCGCU